This 230-nucleotide ribosomal RNA is filed under the name uncultured bacterium. RNAcentral describes it as "partial 16S ribosomal RNA". It matches the Rfam family "Bacterial small subunit ribosomal RNA", at positions 28 to 259 of the family's 1533-position model. The record is from RNAcentral.
GACGAACGCUGGCGGCGUGCUUAACACAUGCAAGUCGAGCGGUAAGGCCCUUUCGGGGUACGACGAGCGGCGAACGGGUGAGUAACACGUGGGUGACCUGCCCUCAGCUCUGGGAUAAGCCUGGGAAACUGGGUCUAAUACUGGAUAUGACUCCACGGUGCAUGUCGUGGGGUGGAAAGCCUUGUGCGGCUGAGGAUGGGCCCGCGGCCUAUCAGCUUGUUGGUGGGGGA